Long non-coding RNA from Anser brachyrhynchus (Pink-footed goose), 2222 nucleotides. The record is from Ensembl. NCBI's taxonomy places the organism in Eukaryota, Metazoa, Chordata, Aves, Anseriformes, Anatidae.
CACAAAUUGAGAUUUGACCAAUACUGAUAACAAAAAAGUCUCAAGGUAUAAACUCAUAGUGCUAUCAAACUUUUCAAGUAAAGGGUCAGUGGGUUUCUUGGUAGAUUUGCAUGAGGACAGUUUCUGAUGAAGAUGAAGAAAGAGUCAGGAGCCGAGGUGGGUUUGGCUGGACCUGGCAGUGGACUGGACGGAUAGGACACUCAUGUCGUGGAUGCUCAUCCCUGCAGCAGUGCCAGCAAACUGUAGCGUCAGUGUCAUUUGGUCCUGUCCUCAGCAAGCACAGCUUGCUGCUCAUCGUGCUGUUCACCAUCACAGGAAAGGACAUUUUCUCUGCUUGGUGCUGUCAGGUUGCACAUUGAAGCAACUAAUUGUAUGGAAUAGGCAUUGUGUAAGGUUAGAAGAAACCUGACUCUCUGAAAGGUUUCAGAGGGGAGGUUUUGGCACCAUAGAACCCAUGACUGGGAAAUGAUUGUAUUAGCUAGCUGUAUCUCCUCUAGAUACAAAUUGCAUCCAGCUGCCUGGCCAACAAAAGGGUGAAAAGAGGAGGAAUGCUGACCACACCUUUCCUCAAGCUGUUGAUUCCCUUUUCUUUUUUUCUUUUUCUUUUUUUUUUUCUUCUUUUUUAUUUUCUGCUGAGACAAGGCAGGAAACACAAUUUAAGUUGCCAGGGUGUUGAUACACACUGGCUGUGGUCUCCAGCUCAUUACUGUGGUCAGAGAAGUGCUUGCGGUGAGAUAUUUCACUCACUCCAGAGAAACUACAUACAUCAAAGGAGAGGAGAUCUCUUUCUUUCCUUCUCAUCCUUCCCACCACUCUAAAAAUCUAGAAGAGCAGUCAUCUGCAUUCUGCAUUCAUCUCAGUGUCGAGAGGAAAAAACAUUGCAACGAUUUUUCUGGAUUGGAAAAAACUCUUUCUCCCUACUUGGAUGGUAAAGCUGCUGUUACCAAGUGCCUAUGCUACUGCCAGCAAUAUGUCUCAGCCAGGGGCACAGGUUGCUCAGUUUUCAUCAAAGCAGCAGAGGGAAAUGGCUAUGUGGAGCAUGCUUUGCAGUUGCCUGCUGAAACCUCUGAGACUGGCUCUGAAUUUCCUGCUUUGAAACGUUUUGCUGCCAUAGUGCAACGGUUCAUGAAGCACAAUAACACUUCUCUUCUGGCCUCCAGGACACUCUCUCAUAUGGGCAGGAUGUGGCUCCCUGUGUUCCGUCUCCUCCUAGUUAUUUGUUUGUGUAAUGAAAUCUUCCACACUGACAUAGCAUUCUUGCAUGCUUUUAUAUAAGACAAACUACUUGUUUGAAAUAUCAUCAGUCCCUUGAAUUGCAAUGUAUAUGCUCUCCUUGUGUCUUUGUUGGUACUGCCUCUGCAAUACCAUAAAACAUUUAGAGAGGUGUUAUUCUGCUAAUGUGUACUGCAGUUGUGGCUGGAGCUGGGUUACAUUUUUCUGUAGUAAUUAACUGAGAAUUUUAGUUUGUACAUAGUGGUGGAUUAAACGGGAUGAUCAAAACGGGGGUCUCAUCUCAUAUGACCAAAUGCUUAGCAUUCAUGUUGGAGGUUGCUCCUCGUAGCAGAGUACUCUGAAUAGCUCAUGAAUCAAGCCUUGAAACUAGUUCGCAUUAGCAAACUGUCUGUAGGCCCUGCAGCAGCUCCAGAUCUGCUCCAAGAGCAGCCCAGCUACCCCUGAGGGCAGCACCCCUUCUAGAAAGGAUAAGGCAGAUGACAGAGCAUAAUGCAUGUUUCACGUGUCUGACUUCAAUACCCUACCAUGUGUGAGUAAGAACCCUUAGAUAUUUUACGGGGAGGAAAAAAAAAAAAAAGACAAUUAUUUAUGUACCAAAUAGCUACUAGAAGGGCUUUUGUUAUUCUGACUGAGUACAAUGUAUGUGAAAAGCAGAAAGAAUCAGCAUGAGAAAAAGAUACUAGAGACCAGCAUAGGUGAGCAGGAGAUGAAAGAAAGAAAAAGAUGAAGGCGGUAAAGGUGAGGCGGAAUGAGGCAGUAGCUACGAUGUCCUCUGCAAGUAUAUGUGAACCUGGUCUGUGUUCCAAAUCCUCUGGCUCGGUAGGACACUACUAAAGGUUGUUGUUUUUUUAACGCAGUCAAAAGUCUAUCAUUUGGAGAAGAGGUUGAUGCAUUUUGCCACCUCUGAACAAGCAUAAGCAGAAGUCAUCCUCUGUCAGUAGAAGUGAGCAAAAAUAACCUCUCAUGAGUGGUGGUUAAACGUCUUAGUC